GACGAACGCUGGCGGCGCGCCUAACACAUGCAAGUCGAACGAGAGAUGAGGAGCUUGCUCUUCAAAUCGAGUGGCGAACGGGUGAGUAACGCGUGAGGAACCUGCCUCAAAGAGGGGGACAACAGUUGGAAACGACUGCUAAUACCGCAUAAGCCCACGGCUCGGCAUCGAGCAGAGGGAAAAGGAGCAAUCCACUUUGAGAUGGCCUCGCGUCCGAUUAGCUAGUUGGUGAGGUAAUGGCCCACCAAGGCAACGAUCGGUAGCCGGACUGAGAGGUUGAACGGCCACAUUGGGACUGAGACACGGCCCAGACUCCUACGGGAGGCAGCAGUGGGGAAUAUUGCACAAUGGGGGAAACCCUGAUGCAGCGACGCCGCGUGGAGGAAGAAGGUCUUCGGAUUGUAAACUCCUGUUGUUGAGGAAGAUAAUGACGGUACUCAACAAGGAAGUGACGGCUAACUACGUGCCAGCAGCCGCGGUAAAACGUAGGUCACAAGCGUUGUCCGGAAUUACUGGGUGUAAAGGGAGCGCAGGCGGGAGAACAAGUUGGAAGUGAAAUCCAUGGGCUCAACCCAUGAACUGCUUUCAAAACUGUUUUUCUUGAGUAGUGCAGAGGUAGGCGGAAUUCCCGGUGUAGCGGUGGAAUGCGUAGAUAUCGGGAGGAACACCAGUGGCGAAGGCGGCCUACUGGGCACCAACUGACGCUGAGGCUCGAAAGUGUGGGUAGCAAACAGGAUUAGAUACCCUGGUAGUCCACACCGUAAACGAAGAUUACUAGGUGUGGGAGGAUUGACCCCCUCAGUGCCGCAGUUAACACAAUAAGUAAUCCACCUGGGGAGUACGACCGCAAGGUUGAAACUCAAAGGAAUUGACGGGGGCCCGCACAAGCAGUGGAGUAUGUGGUUUAAUUCGACGCAACGCGAAGAACCUUACCAAGUCUUGACAUCCUGCGACGCACAUAGAAAUAUGUGUUUCCUUCGGGACGCAGAGACAGGUGGUGCAUGGUUGUCGUCAGCUUGUGUCGUGAGAUGUUGGGUUAAGUCCCGCAACGAGCGCAACCCUUAUGGUCAGUUACUACGCAAGAGGACUCUGGCCAGACUGCCGUUGACAAAACGGAGGAAGGUGGGGAGGACGUCAAAUCAUCAUGCCCCCUAUGACUUGGGCUACACACGUACUACAAUGGCGUUAAACAAAGAGAAGCAAGACCGCGAGGUGGAGCAAAACUCAGAAACAACGUCCCAGUUCGGACUGCAGGCUGCAACUCGCCUGCACGAAGUCGGAAUUGCUAGUAAUCGUGGAUCAGCAUGCCACGGUGAAUACGAUCCCGGGCCUUGCACA
This 1338-nucleotide ribosomal RNA is filed under the name uncultured bacterium. RNAcentral's name for it is "bacterial SSU rRNA". It matches the Rfam family "Bacterial small subunit ribosomal RNA", at positions 28 to 1387 of the family's 1533-position model. The record is from RNAcentral.